RNAcentral lists this ribosomal RNA (300 nucleotides) under uncultured Bacillus sp. RNAcentral's name for it is "bacterial SSU rRNA". It matches the Rfam family "Bacterial small subunit ribosomal RNA", at positions 496 to 795 of the family's 1533-position model. Lineage: Bacteria; Bacillati; Bacillota; Bacilli; Caryophanales; Bacillaceae. The record is from RNAcentral.
GAUAAGUGAGGCCCAGCAGCCGGGGUAAUACGGAGUGGGCUAGGGUUGGCCGGAAUCAUUGGGCGUAAAGCGGGCGUAGGCGGCCCGAUAAGUCCGCUGUAAAAGUCCAGGGCUCAACCCUGGAAGGCCGGUUGAUACUGUCGGGCUAGAGUCCGGAAGAGGCGAGUGGAAUUCCUGGUGUAGCGGUGGAAUGCGCAGAUAUCAGGAGGAACACCGAUAGCGAAGGCAGCUCGCUGGGACGGUACUGACGCUGAGGUGCGAAAGCGUGGGGAGCGAACAGGAUUAGAUACCCUAGUAGUC